UGGGGAAUAUUGCACAAUGGGCGCAAGCCUGAUGCAGCCAUGCCGCGUGUAUGAAGAAGGCCUUCGGGUUGUAAAGUACUUUCAGUCGGGAGGAAGGUGUCAAGGUUAAUAACCUUGGCAAUUGACGUUACCGACAGAAGAAGCACCGGCUAACUCCGUGCCAGCAGCCGCGGUAAUACGGAGGGUGCAAGCGUUAAUCGGAAUUACUGGGCGUAAAGCGCACGCAGGCGGUUGAUUGAGACAGAUGUGAAAUCCCCGGGCUUAAACCGGGAAUUGCAUCUGAUACUGGUCAGCUAGAGUCGUGUAGAGGGGGGUAGAAUUCCAUGUGUAGCGGUGAAAUGCGUAGAGAUGUGGAGGAGUACCGGUGGCGAAGGCGGCCCCCUGGACAAAGACUGACGCUCAGGUGCGAGAGCGUGGGGAGCAAACAGA
This 429-nucleotide ribosomal RNA is filed under the name Chloroflexota bacterium. Its description in RNAcentral is "Chloroflexi bacterium partial 16S ribosomal RNA". It matches the Rfam family "Bacterial small subunit ribosomal RNA", at positions 355 to 776 of the family's 1533-position model. Lineage: Bacteria; Bacillati; Chloroflexota. The record is from RNAcentral.